Molecule: long non-coding RNA, 2655 nt
Organism: Hemicordylus capensis (graceful crag lizard)
Lineage: Eukaryota; Metazoa; Chordata; Lepidosauria; Squamata; Cordylidae
Exons: 4
Source: RefSeq, a predicted model, not a curated record
AAAACAAGACCCACAAAAUGGAGGAAAACACACAGACAGACCUAAAAAGGAGCCUAAUGGCUUUGAACUGGUUCGAGCACGUUCAAUUAGGCUUCAGCCAAACUGGGGCUCGAUCGGUUCAAACUCAGACUGGCAUUGCAAAACCAAUGCCUGGUUUGGUCUGAGUUCAAACCGUUGAACCAAACCAGUUCGAUCUCAAACCGGUCCAAACUCGGACCAGUUUGCACAUCCCUACUCCUGUUUCCUUAGGGAUGGUUGUGUGCAUGUACACACACAUGUACAGGAGGAAACAGAAGAAGGCGGGAAGGAAGAGUAAGCAGUAGAGUCACAGGACCAUGGAAUACAACAGCAUGUGUUGGAAUUGCUUGCCACUCACUGGUGAUGGAAGAGAAACAUAUUUUCAAACUCAGAUGUAAACUGGAAUUGCACACAGACAAAUGAAGACACAAGGCAUAAUUAGAAGUAAAAGGCCACAACUUUCCAAUAACUAACAACAAGGGAUUGGCUCUCCACCUUCUAAAGUGUGGAAACUAGAGACUCGCAACCCAACUUUAAUUCAACAGCUGCCUUAUGAAAAGGAAGUACCCCAAUAUAUUGUUCCAUCUCAUCCCAUCAAGAAAAGACCCUGGCUGUACCAGCAAAUACAGAUCCUAGGAUUCCCAGAACGUGCUUCUCCCUCCUAUUUUCAUUCCAGCAGAGCUCUGAGUUAGAAUGAAAAACAUCAUUGAAGCUCUCCAGAUCUCUUUAAUUAGGUUUCUGAGGGAAUGUUUUGUUACUUGCCUUUCACUUGAAAGGCAGGUAUAGGCUUUGUAACUUCUGAGAGCUGAAGCUUGCUGGAUUGUGAAGGAAUGGACAUGUGAAGAUGAAAUUAUAGUUUUAUGUCACAGCAUGUGUCAUCCUCUUUCAUAUUCUGCUUGAGUUUUAUAAUGUUAAACAUUCAUAUAUGAAGCUCCCUUAUACUGAUUCAGAACUUUGGUUGAGGGGCAUAAAUGGCAAAUUUCCCGGUGGGGGCAGUUCUUGCCAGGGCCGCCAAGUGCUGCUAAGACCACUGGUGAAAGUUACACUGCCAGCUCCAUUGGACUUACUGCAGAAAACAUGCCCUCAAAGAUCAGUGUUCCUGGUGUGAAAAGAAAGCCACCUGGCCAUCAGUACAAGGACACUUGGAAGAGAACCUAUGAGUUCUCUUGUGAAGUGGGCUCUCUUAUGAAAUGGGCAAAGUAUAUUGCAGCAUCUGUUGUACAGCCAAUGCUUCUCUUCCAAAAUGUUCAAGAGACUGGGAUGUAUAUGAAGCUUUUGUUAAGAUUGGCUUCUCAAACUGGAAGAAAGCAUUAGAAAGAUUUAAGAGCCAUCCAAAUUCAAACAUUCAUUGUGCAGCUGUUCAGGCUAUUGCUGCUGCUAAAGGUGGGGUAAAUGUCACUAGCUCAGAAAGGAAACAGAAGCAAAUGCAAGAAACUGGUGGUACUUCUGAAAAUUUUAUCCUCUGCUAGGUACCUUGCCGGUCAGAUUCUGACAGUUCAUGGUAAUCUUGAGGAAGGGUCGAAGCUUAGUCAGCUCUUGCUGCUUCAUGCUGAUGGUGUUCUGCAGCUGAGAUCAGGUUGAAUCAUACAAAUUCACCUUCUGUUGUGAAUGAGAUGUUUAAAACCUUGGCUCACAAUGCUUUAUGUACAUUAGUGAGAGAAACCGAAGAAGCUGUUUUCUACAGUGAAAUUGUAGAUGCCUACAGAUAGUACCACAAAGGCGCAGGUUUCAUUUUGCUUUUGCAUUGCCACAGAAGAUAUGCCUGCGGAAGAAUUGUUUUUCAGCUUUUCUGAAACCGAUGUCAUAACGUCUAAAACCCUUCUGUUUUUUGAAAGCCAUACUUUGCCGCUUUAAUUGUUCUCUUGAUAGGUGCCGUGGCUAGUGGUGUGCAUAGAACUGGUGCCUGCUGGUUCCAAAGCGGGUGGGGGAUAAAUUUAAGGACUGGGGAGGGUGCACGUAUCCCCACCACUGCAUUUCCCCCACUGGCACUCCCUUUAAAAAUUGGCCAGUGGGGCGGCAGCAUACCUGUCUGCUGCCCCGCUGCCUCCUCAGACUAGAAGUGACUGGAAGUACCCAGCAUGCAUGCUCACGUUGGGUGCGCGAGCAAGCAUGACUCACAAGUGCACAUGCCCAACGUGCAUACACACACUGAGUACUUCCGGUCACUUCUAGUCUGAGGAGGGAACGGAGUGGCAGGUAGGUAUGCUGCCGCCCUGCCGGACUGUUUUAAAAGAGAGUGCUGGUGGGGAAAAUGCAGCAGAGGGGGUAAGUGCAUCCUCCCCACUCCUUAAAGUUAUCUUUUGAACCACCGAUCUUUUGAACCUGUUUGGAGGCCUGUAAAAGGGCUUACGAACAGGUUUGUGCACAUCCCUAGCCGUGAGCAAUGCUGUGAUGGAGCUCCGAAUGCAGCUGGACUCAUUAGUAGACUGUAGGCUCUAGUGAAGCAAGAGGAACCAAGAGCCCUUUAUGUGUACUGAGUAGCCCAUGCUGUGAACUUAGUGAUGCAAGCUGUAUUGUUAUUUAUUUAUUUAUUUAUUAUUAUUAUUAUUUACAUUUAUAAACCGCCCCAUCCAGAGGCUCAGGAAAUGUAUCAGGAAAUGUGAAUAUUUGUAUAAAGUUUUUGAGUGAAAUAGCUGA